RNAcentral lists this RNase P RNA (379 nucleotides) under Alphaproteobacteria bacterium. Its description in RNAcentral is "RNase P RNA component class A". It matches the Rfam family "Bacterial RNase P class A". Rfam says of the family: Ribonuclease P (RNase P) is a ubiquitous endoribonuclease, found in archaea, bacteria and eukarya as well as chloroplasts and mitochondria. Lineage: Bacteria; Pseudomonadati; Pseudomonadota; Alphaproteobacteria. The record is from RNAcentral.
UCGGGGGCAAGGACGAUCGCCGCAAACGCGGAGGAAAGUCCGGGCUCCACAGAAGCAUGGCGCCGGAUAACGCCCGGCUGGAUCGAUCCACGGGAAAGUGCCACAGAAAACAAACCGCCUCGUCCCAGGACAAGGUAAGGGUGAAACGGUGCGGUAAGAGCGCACCAGCGCCGGCGGCAACGCCGGCGGCUCGGUAAACCCCGCCAGGAGCAAGACCAACAACGACCGCAUCGCUGUCUUGCGACCGCGAUAGCGCCGCUUCUGCUCAGGUCGAGGUAGGUCGCUUGAGGCGACGGGCGACCGUCGUCCCAGACGAAUGAUCGUCACGCCCGUUCAAAAGGCGGGUGUACAGAACCCGGCUUACAUUGCCCCCGGCGCC